This is a non-coding RNA of Characodon lateralis, 77 nucleotides long. Lineage: Eukaryota; Metazoa; Chordata; Actinopteri; Cyprinodontiformes; Goodeidae. The record is from the annotation of a GenBank genome assembly.
GGCUCCACGGUGGUGCAGUUGGUAGCACUAUUGCUUUGCAGGUAAAAGACCUUGCUUCAACUCCCAGCCUGGGGCCU